CAAGUCGAACGGCAGCACGGACUUCGGUCUGGUGGCGAGUGGCGAACGGGUGAGUAAUGUAUCGGAACGUAUCCAAUAAUGGGGGAUAACUAGUCGAAAGAUUAGCUAAUACCGCAUACGCCCUACGGGGGAAAGCUAGGGACCUUCGGGCCUGGCGUUAAUGGAGCGGCCGAUAUCUGAUUAGCUAGUUGGUGAGGUAAAAGCUCACCAAGGCGACGAUCAGUAGCUGGUCUGAGAGGACGACCAGCCACACUGGAACUGAGACACGGUCCAGACUCCUACGGGAGGCAGCAGUGGGGAAUUUUGGACAAUGGGCGAAAGCCUGAUCCAGCCAUUCCGCGUGAGUGAAGAAGGCCUUCGGGUUGUAAAGCUCUUUCGCAAGAGAAGAAAACUUAGUCUCUAACAUAGACUGAGGUUGACGGUAUCUUGAUAAGAAGCACCGGCUAACUACGUGCCAGCAGCCGCGGUAAUACGUAGGGUGCGAGCGUUAAUCGGAAUUACUGGGCGUAAAGCGUGCGCAGGCUGUUUUGUAAGUCAGAUGUGAAAUCCCUGAGCUCAACUUAGGAACUGCGUUUGAAACUACAAGACUAGAAUAUGUCAGAGGGGGGUAGAAUUCCACGUGUAGCAGUGAAAUGCGUAGAGAUGUGGAGGAAUACCAAUGGCGAAGGCAGCCCCCUGGGAUAAUAUUGACGCUCAUGCACGAAAGCGUGGGGAGCAAACAGGAUUAGAUACCCUGGUAGUCCACGCCCUAAACGAUGUCUACUAGUUGUUGGUGGAGUAAAAUCCAUGAGUAACGCAGCUAACGCGUGAAGUAGACCGCCUGGGGAGUACGGUCGCAAGAUUAAAACUCAAAGGAAUUGACGG
This 864-nucleotide ribosomal RNA is filed under the name uncultured bacterium. RNAcentral describes it as "bacterial SSU rRNA". It matches the Rfam family "Bacterial small subunit ribosomal RNA", at positions 58 to 916 of the family's 1533-position model. The record is from RNAcentral.